GACGAACGCUGGCGGCGUGCCCAAUACAUGCAAGUAGAACGCACAGUUUAUACCGUAGCUUGCUACACCAUAAACUGUGAGUUGCGAACGGGUGAGUAACGCGUAGGUAACCUGCCUGGUAGCGGGGGAUAACUAUUGGAAACGAUAGCUAAUACCGCAUAAUAUUGAUUAUUGCAUGAUAAUUGAUUGAAAGAUGCUAUUGCAUCACUACCAGAUGGACCUGCGUUGUAUUAGCUAGUAGGUGAGGUAACGGCUCACCUAGGCGACGAUACAUAGCCGACCUGCGAGGGUGAUCGGCCACACUGGGACUGAGACACGGCCCAGACUCCUACGGGAGGCAGCAGUAGGGAAUCUUCGGCAAUGGACGAAAGUCUGACCGAGCAACGCCGCGUGAGUGAAGAAGGUUUUCGGAUCGUAAAGCUCUGUUGUAAGAGAAGAACGGGUGUGAGAGUGGAAAGUUCACACUGUGACGGUAUCUUACCAGAAAGGGACGGCUAACUACGUG
Molecule: ribosomal RNA, 505 nt
Filed under: uncultured bacterium
Lineage: Bacteria
Description: partial 16S ribosomal RNA
Rfam family: Bacterial small subunit ribosomal RNA
Source: RNAcentral